UAAUGACUUACUCUAGUAAUAGUACUUAACUAUGUAUAAGAAAAAGAUGUCUUACUUUCUUUAUUGUUUAAAAUAGGGGCCAAUCACCAAGACUUAUAAAUAAAAUAAUUUUAAACAAAUUUAAAA
Long non-coding RNA from Sander lucioperca (pikeperch), 126 nucleotides. RefSeq lists it as uncharacterized. The transcript is spliced from 3 exons. The record is from RefSeq and is a predicted model, not a curated record. Lineage: Eukaryota; Metazoa; Chordata; Actinopteri; Perciformes; Percidae.